UUUGAUGGCGACCGGCGCACGGGUGAGUAACACGUAUCCAACCUGCCGAUGACUCGGGGAUAGCCUUUCGAAAGAAAGAUUAAUACCCGAUGGCAUAGUUCUUCCGCAUGGUAGAACUAUUAAAGAAUUUCGGUCAUCGAUGGGGACGCGUUCCAUUAGGUUGUUGGCGGGGUAACGGCCCACCAAGCCUUCGAUGGAUAGGGGUUCUGAGAGGAAGGUCCCCCACAUUGGAACUGAGACACGGUCCAA
This 249-nucleotide ribosomal RNA is filed under the name uncultured bacterium. Its description in RNAcentral is "partial 16S ribosomal RNA". It matches the Rfam family "Bacterial small subunit ribosomal RNA", at positions 84 to 334 of the family's 1533-position model. The record is from RNAcentral.